UUAUCCCGUCGAUAAUAAAAA
RNAcentral lists this non-coding RNA (21 nucleotides) under Caenorhabditis elegans. The record is from RNAcentral. Lineage: Eukaryota; Metazoa; Nematoda; Chromadorea; Rhabditida; Rhabditidae.